UGAGACAUAUCUACAAAAAGUGUGCUCAGCAUUGAAAGAGAAAGGGCAGAAACAAAUUGUUGAUAUAGUGAAUGAAUUGGAACAUACAUUAUCCAUUUCAACAAUGCAAUCUAUUGACAGCAGCAGUGCUAGUGUUCCUACUAAUAAACCUGAAGACACUCCAGCUUCUAAUAGAAUACAAGGAAGAUUAGAAAAAUGGCUAAAAGAAGGAAA
Molecule: long non-coding RNA, 213 nt
Organism: Amphimedon queenslandica
Lineage: Eukaryota; Metazoa; Porifera; Demospongiae; Haplosclerida; Niphatidae
Exons: 3
Source: RefSeq, a predicted model, not a curated record